RNAcentral lists this transfer RNA (65 nucleotides) under Dipodomys ordii (Ord's kangaroo rat). It matches the Rfam family "tRNA". From Rfam's summary of the family: Transfer RNA (tRNA) molecules are approximately 80 nucleotides in length. Their secondary structure includes four short double-helical elements and three loops (D, anti-codon, and T loops). Further hydrogen bonds mediate the characteristic L-shaped molecular structure. tRNAs have two regions of fundamental functional importance: the anti-codon, which is responsible for specific mRNA codon recognition, and the 3' end, to which the tRNAs corresponding amino acid is attached (by aminoacyl-tRNA synthetases). tRNAs cope with the degeneracy of the genetic code in two manners: having more than one tRNA (with a specific anti-codon) for a particular amino acid; and 'wobble' base-pairing, i.e. permitting non-standard base-pairing at the 3rd anti-codon position. Lineage: Eukaryota; Metazoa; Chordata; Mammalia; Rodentia; Heteromyidae. The record is from Rfam by way of RNAcentral.
GGUGGCUCAGUGGUAGAGCACUUGCCUUGCAUGCAUAAGGCCCUGGGUUCAAUUCCUCAGUACCA